AAUGAAGUGCCUGAGUAAAGGGUUAUUUUGAUAGAAUAAAACAAGUAAGAUUUUACCUUCAUUA
This 64-nucleotide transfer RNA is filed under the name Pselaphinae sp. 10 EF-2015. RNAcentral's name for it is "tRNA-Ile". The record is from RNAcentral. Lineage: Eukaryota; Metazoa; Arthropoda; Insecta; Coleoptera; Staphylinidae.